GCGCAGCAGGCGCGAAACUUUACAAUGUGCGAAAGCACGAUAAGGGAACUCUGAGUGCCUCCUAAGGAGGCUGUUCAGGUGUCUAAAAGCACCUGAAGGAAGGGCUGGGUAAGACCGGUGCCAGCCGCCGCGGUAACACCGGCAGCCCAAGUGGUAGCCACGUUUAUUGGGUCUAAAGCGUCCGUAGCCGGCUGGGUAAGUUCCUUGGGAAAUUUGGCUGCUUAACAGUCAAGCUUUCAGGGAAUACUGCCCGGCUUGGGACCGGGAGAGGUCAGAGGUACUCCAGGGGUAGGGGUGAAAUCCAUUAAUCCUUGGGGGACCACCGGUAGCGAAGGCGUCUGACCAGACCGGGUCCGACGGUGAGGGACGAAGGCUA
RNAcentral lists this ribosomal RNA (376 nucleotides) under uncultured microorganism. Its description in RNAcentral is "bacterial SSU rRNA". It matches the Rfam family "Archaeal small subunit ribosomal RNA", at positions 330 to 713 of the family's 1478-position model. The record is from RNAcentral.